RNAcentral lists this ribosomal RNA (536 nucleotides) under uncultured bacterium. RNAcentral's name for it is "bacterial SSU rRNA". It matches the Rfam family "Bacterial small subunit ribosomal RNA", at positions 32 to 558 of the family's 1533-position model. The record is from RNAcentral.
AACGCUGGCGGCGUGCUUAACACAUGCAAGUCGAACGGGGGUGCCAUGAACGAAGCAUCAGUUUACUGAUAUGGAGGGAAUGGGACCCUAGUGGCGGACGGGUGAGUAACGCGUGGGUAACCUGCCCCAUACCGGGGGAUAACACUUAGAAAUAGGUGCUAAUACCGCAUAAGCGCACGGGAGCGCAUGCUCCUGUGUGAAAAACUCCGGUGGUAUGGGAUGGACCCGCGUCUGAUUAGCCAGUUGGCAGGGUAACGGCCUACCAAAGCGACGAUCAGUAGCCGGCCUGAGAGGGUGGACGGCCACAUUGGGACUGAGACACGGCCCAAACUCCUACGGGAGGCAGCAGUGGGGAAUAUUGCACAAUGGGGGAAACCCUGAUGCAGCGACGCCGCGUGAGUGAAGAAGUAUUUCGGUAUGUAAAGCUCUAUCAGCAGGAACGAGACAAGACGGUACCUGACUAAGAAGCCCCGGCUAACUACGUGCCAGCAGCCGCGGUAAUACGUAGGGGGCAAGCGUUAUCCGGAAUCACUGGG